This 322-nucleotide ribosomal RNA is filed under the name uncultured eukaryote. Its description in RNAcentral is "partial 18S ribosomal RNA". It matches the Rfam family "Eukaryotic small subunit ribosomal RNA", at positions 1470 to 1796 of the family's 1831-position model. The record is from RNAcentral.
CCCUUAGAUGUCCUGGGCCGCACGCGCGCUACACUGAUGCAUUCAACGAGUGUACCUUGGCCGAGAGGCCUGGGCAAUCUUUUGAACGUGCAUCGUGAUAGGGAUAGAUUAUUGCAAUUAUUAAUCUUGAACGAGGAAUUCCUAGUAAACGCAGAUCAUCAAUCUGCAUUGAUUACGUCCCUGCCCUUUGUACACACCGCCCGUCGCACCUACCGAUUGGAUGGUCCGGUGAAGCCUCGGGAUUGUGGCGGUUGCCUUUAUUGGUGGCCGCCGCGAGAACUUGUCUAAACCUUAUCAUCUAGAGGAAGGUGAAGUCGUANCA